GGCGCACGGGUGAGUAACGCGUGGAUAAUCUGCCCCUCAGUUGGGAAUAACUCAUCGAAAGGUGAGCUAAUACCGAAUAAUACUGUGAGACCCCGGUCGAUCAGUCAAAGGGAGCCUCUGCUUGAAGCUUUCGCUGAAGGAUGAGUCCGCGUACCAUUAGCUAGUUGGUAGGGUAAUGGCCUACCAAGGCGACGAUGGUUAGCUGGUCUGAGAGGAUGAUCAGCCACACUGGAACUGAGACACGGUCCAGACUCCUACGGGAGGCAGCAGUGAGGAAUCUUGCGCAAUGGGGGAAACCCUGACGCAGCAACGCCGCGUGAGUGAGGAAGGUCUUCGGAUCGUAAAGCUCUGUCAGAUGGGAAGAAAUGCAUGGGAGUAAAUAGCUCCACUGCUUGACGGUACCAUCAGAGGAAGCACCGGCUAACUCCGUGCCAGCAGCCGCGGUAAUACGGGGGGAGCAAGCGUUGUUCGCAAUCAUUGGGCGUAAAGAGCGUGUAGGCGGCUUGAUAAGUCAGAUGUGAAAGCCCCGGGCUCAACCUGGGAAGUGCAUUUGAAACUGUAAUGCUACAGUAGUGCAGAGGGAAGUGUAAUUCCUGGGGUAGAGAUGAAAUUCGUAGAUAUCACGAGGAACACCGGUGGCGGAAGGCAACUUCAUGGCCCUAUACUGACGCUGAGACGCGUGAGCGCGUGUAGCACAUGGGAUUAGAUACCCCUGACAAUCUACGCAGUAAACGAUGGUACGCUAGGUGUUAGCGGAGUACUGACCCACCUCAGUGCUCGCAUUCUAACUGCAUUUAACUGGAACCGCCAUGGGAUAUUCCGGUCGUUAGACU
This 833-nucleotide ribosomal RNA is filed under the name uncultured bacterium. RNAcentral's name for it is "bacterial SSU rRNA". It matches the Rfam family "Bacterial small subunit ribosomal RNA", at positions 97 to 895 of the family's 1533-position model. The record is from RNAcentral.